CAAAGAUUCCUCCUCUGUGGAGUUUCCCCUGGGAACCUUGAUCCUUGGAGAUGGGUGAGCAAUCUUUUUCUCUUCCAUUGUAACACUUUUUCAUCACGUUGAUCUUUCCAAUUGUUACAGAUGUCCUUCAUGGAAGUAGGUUUCCUCUUGAGAUAAUCUAUCUUGCUGCCAAGAGGAGGGUUAACGUGGUGUCAGUAUAGCAACAGGACAAACCUUUGGAGCUCCACCCUACAGCACCUUGUUAUUCCUGGAGCACUGCAUAGAUCCUGAACGUGGCUGUACAGGCAUCCCUCCGCUUGCCAGCAUUUUCCAUAUGAGGGCCUUGCUAUGACUAAACACAGUUUUAUAAGUCCCAUGGCAUCCAGCUAUAAAUAAGAAGAUCAAAGCCUUGACCCUUGGAAACUAACUGUGACCUCAUCAUUGAGCAACCGUGCCCCAAAGACUGUAUUAAGCUGGAAGGGAACAUAAAUCUAGGAGGAACUAAUGAAGACCCCCAGGGCCACCCUUCUCUAUAGCUGUCUUGUUAACAUGAUCUAGGAAAGACAGGGGGCCCUUAAAUAAAACAAAAAAAAAACCAGAGGUAAUAAGUGAC
Molecule: long non-coding RNA, 592 nt
Filed under: Phasianus colchicus (ring-necked pheasant)
Lineage: Eukaryota; Metazoa; Chordata; Aves; Galliformes; Phasianidae
Description: lncRNA (ENSPCLG00000008459.1)
Source: RNAcentral